RNAcentral lists this long non-coding RNA (7303 nucleotides) under Olea europaea (common olive). RNAcentral describes it as "long non-coding RNA (OEUR_LNC000889)". The record is from RNAcentral. Lineage: Eukaryota; Viridiplantae; Streptophyta; Magnoliopsida; Lamiales; Oleaceae.
AGCAUCCAACCAAACAAAUUGAUCUGCCUGCUUUUUAUUUCAAUGUACACCAUAAAUGACAUGCAACUAUAUUUUUCCGACAUUUCAUCAAUCUUUGUCCACCUGCAACACCAGGUUAAGCAUGCAUAUAAAUAUCAGGUUAUUUGUGGUUCAACAUAGACUCAAGAUCCCAUCAUAACAUAUAAAAUUGCAAUAUUAGCCCAAAAUAACCUAAUGUAUAAUCCCAGUGACUGGAACUAAUGGUGGGCUAAAGAGAGCGCUGCAAAUUGCACUAUUACCACUCCAUAAUACAAUUCUCCAUGUUAUAUUCUCAAAUGUGACCACAAUAGGUUGACAAAAUAUGCCGUUAGCCUGAAAAUUCGUUGUACUUGAAAACACAAUCAUAAAGCCGCCCCCCAAGGAACUGUGCAACCUCCAGGUGCUUCACCUGUAAAGAGAAGAGAGAGAGAGAGAGAGAGAGAGAGAGAGAGAGGGCAAAUGUGAAUCUGUUGCUGUGUUGCUUCUUGACAUGGUCUCAACAGGCCAAAGAAUUAUUGACACAUACAGGAUCAACGGAGAAAACUUAUAGAUCAAAGUCGAGAUACUUGAAGCAUCUGAUCCAAGUGUUACAAAAUCUACAUCCCCAUGAGCCAUGAAUGGACCCAUAGCAAGUACAAUUAUCACAAUCCGUGAAAUCAAGUAGCAAAAGUUACUCCUCGCUGUAAUUUCUAAUCAGCUUGUAGCUUUUCUUGCUAGUCACCCCCUUUGUUUAGCUAGCACAAUCCCUGACACCAUUAGUAUCUUCUUCUUCGUUAAGCACUGACGUCAAAACUGGCCUUGAAUAUUUGGCUCUUCAAACACAUGAAUGCUCGACUACUUACUAUUGCUGCUGCAUUUCGUACUUCCAUGAAGUCAACUCAGAUGGGAUCAAACCUUCAUCACAGGAAAGCACAGCCUGGGCCAUUAGCUUCCCAAGCCACCCAUGGAACAGCAGACCUCUUGCCCCCAACCCUGUAAACAACCAGUACUUACAACCACCAUUAUUACCACCAUGUAUCAAGUUAUCUAUGCAGCCAAGAAUUGGAAGCGAUCCAUCUGCAGUGAGUGGUGGCAUCGCCCUUAGUCCUGCCAUUGCACCAGUUAUUGUCCAUUCUUUAAUGGGUGGGUACACAGCAGAUGCCUUUGGUAGAAGCACUUCCAUCGCCUUAGUAGCUUCCUCCACAGAAACGUCCCUUGAAUAAUUUGUAGACUUCCACUCCCAUGUUGAACCCAUAUGCAUACUGCGAGCACCUUGUACAGAAAGCCAUGCGUCUGACAAGAUUGAAGGGCUAUAUUUCGGAUAAUCUUUUCUGCAACAAAUAUUAAGAGAUAAAUUAUUAAGAACUCUACUCCCUAGAUGGAAAAAAUAAAUAUUUGGACAAGAAUCUGGAACAAUGCCUAGCUGUUCAACAUGGAGUCAUCACAGAACAAUAUAAGAUGACUAGAUGCGCAAUUUUCAACUGCGUAAGCACUGAGAUGUCAAGAGAAGCUAUAGCAUCUCAUAUCGUGUAUGUUUGGUAAAGCAUUUUGUAGAUUAUAACAUAUGGGUCCCACGUAAUAUAUGAAUAAAAUUAGGGUCCUACGAAAUGUAUGGAUAAAAUUUGUAGGUCCUACAAAAUGUGCAAAUAAAAAUGAUGUUUGACCAACUUAUAAGCUUGAAAAAGCUUUACCAAACAUAGUGGUUGGAAUUUACAAACAAAAUCUAUAUGCCUAUUAUUGUUGCAGCGCAUAAAAUAAUAUAUUAUACCGUUCUACAUGAAAGCAUAGCAACAUGAGAUUUACCUGAGAUCAUUAGUAAGCUGCAAGCGAGUAACUAAACCUCUGCACAUCCGUAAAGGGAGCCUUCCCGAGAGCUCUGGCAAAAAGGCAGCCCUGGCGCCUAGACAAAUAAUAAUUGCAUCGUAUUCCCCUGAAAACAAAUGCUAUUAGUUUUCCUUUCUCAGAAUCACGAAUCACAAAUUAUCAAAAAGAAAAAGCACUUGUCAAACAACGAACGGUGAGUUUCAUGUUGAUUGUGCAAGGCUGAAGGUUGCUAGAUAUUAUGACUGAAAUUUCAAGUAUAAGGCCAAGGCUUAAAGCUGAUGCUUGUCCAUCUAUGGAGCCUUCUGUCUUAGCUUAAAAUUGUUCCUUACAUGUUCCAUUAUGCUUUCGAUUGCAUGUAGCAAGACCAUUUUUAAGAUAUAUAUUUGAGUAAGGUGUAUCAUAAGUAGUUAUGUUUAUAUUUUUGGUAAGAUGAAUACUUGUAAGCGCGUAAAGAAUGUCAAACAACUGAAAAAGAUAUUUUGCUAUUUAAUGUAUAAAAUUUGACUCAAGAGACUUACAUUUGAAAUAUUGCAGAGCAAUUCAAUUAAAGUUUAUUAUUUAACUUAAUUUAAAAUGUUAGUAGUUAAAAGAAAUUAUUAUCUUCAUAUAACUUUCUAAAAUAUUUAACAUUUGAAACUAUUUUUAAAUAUCUUAAAAUUUUAAAUUGUUAUAAUUAAUGUGUAAAGGCAUAAAUAAUUGAGGAACUUACUGACCACUUUUAGGAAUACAAAUAAGUACCAGAAGCACAUAAUAAUGAAAUAAAACCCUAUGAAGCCAACUUGUUUGCUCAAUAAUAUUUAAAAUCAAUUUGAGAAUUGAUUAUUUUGAUUGAAAAUAUAUAUUUUUUUAAAAAUGAACUGAUUCUGAACCUGCAAUAUUUUGAAUUAAAUAAGCAACUUGUUCUUUUAAAAUUAUGGUCCCCUUCUAGUCAAAUAAACCUUUUUACUUGAAAGUAAAGUAUUAGAAAAAAAAUUCUUAUCAGCUCUAUCAAAUACUAAUAAACCCAUAUGUUUGGCCCCAUUUCUUAAAACUCAUCUUUCCUCAAACUGAUUUUCAACCCCACAUUUUGGGAUCCAGCAUAAAAAAGUCUAAAUUUUAUCCAAACCAAACAUGGGCUAAGUUUGAUUUAUUAAAAGAUUUGACCAAAAAAAAAAAAAUUAUGAAUACAAAAUAGCCACUAAUCUAGAUCGAGAUAAUUAUACCCUGUAGUUAAUUUAGUUUAUGCAUUAAGAGAGCAUCAAAAGUAGUUAUAGUCCUAUCACCUAUGAUGAUUUAAUUAUCUCCUUGCAGUUUUCAAAAGCUCAGUAUCCUUCCUCUUUGAGGAAGGGGGAACUUAUUGCAAUCAAUGCAUUUUCUUUAAAACCUAGGUGGUUAUAUACACAGACUUUACAAUUGCAAAAAAAAAAAAAAAAACUUCAUACUUAACAUGUAAUUACGCGAACAAAGAAAUCAUAUGGAGGAUACCUGAUAGUUCUAAGAGGUUCUCAACAGAUUUCUUGUGCAAAGACAGUUCUUUCCGUGCAACACCCACCUUGGACAUGUCUUCUGCUAGAUUUUCACAUGCUAGGUACAGUGCCUACAUGAAUAUCACGAGAGGGAAAAUAGCAAAAGAAAUAAUCUGAACAGAUAUCAUUUCAGACAUUAAAAUCAUUAAGCCUUUCUACGAACCUCAAGAUAGCAUUGAGAAUUAAUACUCAGGGCUUCAGGCAUAUAAAAUGCCAAGUUUAAUGGUACAGAAAUAUCAGGCACAAGACCCUGAGCAGCAUCCUCAUGAAUGGACUCUAUUCUGCAACCGGUAAGGCAGUUCUCAGCAUUCUAUUCAUAGAAAAUAAGAUGAAUUUGCAUCAGCAAGAAGUCAAAUUGAAACUCCUUGCUUAGUUAGCUAGUAGAAAAGGGCUUACACUACUCAUUAGGUCUAUAUUCUUCGAGCUGAGAGCUGGUCUUAGGAUUCCUCUGAAGUAAAAAAGUGGAUAUCAGAGGGUGUUACUUGUAAAGAAAGAGGAAAAAUUACAUCGGCAUCAUAAGAUGAACUUCAUAAUGUAUAAGUAAUGCUUAUAGGUGCUAAAUUAAGUUCAGGAAAGAAAAAGAAAAGCAUAAUAUCCCUAAGUCACCCUUUAUAGCCGCUAAACUAUAACAAUAUAAACACCCACCAUAAUGCUAUAGAUUGGAAACAAAAGUUGUUCACAGAACAAGGUUUAUGCUUGGAAAUAUGUUUAUGAUUUGCUCCUAUUCAGGUCUUCAUGCAGCCAAUAUUGUCUUGGAUAUGGUAAUAAAAAAGUCAAUGAGAAAUCAUUGGAGCGGCUAUUUAUUAAGCCAGUGAAUAAUUCUGUAUAGGAAUAUGGAUAUGUUAUGGAACAAUUGUAAGAAAGAACAAACCUCCUAUUGACGAUGGAAGGUUCACUGUUUGGGGGAGAGUCUUGAUUUCCCCCGUUUACUAGCUUAAAUAGUGCACCCUCAGCAACAUUAAGAAGAUCUAAACUCUCUUUCCAGCACUCUGCGCCCCGCCAAAGUAGCUUAACUACAAAAAUAAACAGUCUCACUCAAAAAUAGAUCAUGUUUUCAAACACUAAUACCUCUUGGAAAAUUGCAAGUCAUCGAAAAGAUAGUUGGACAAAAAUUGAUAGGAAAGAUCAUAAUGGGAACAGGGCUAAAGAGAUAUGGACCUUUUGGGGAGUAUGGAUGCAAGAGUCCACCAGCAACUCCAGAGGCACCUCCACCAAUGCCGACUUGAUCAUAAAUAUCGAUGCACACAUCCAAUUUCUUGGAACUGCACUGCAAGCACAAGUACCCAGUAGUUGGCGAAGGAUGGAAGAAAAGAAGAAACCAGCAAUCUUGAAUUGAGCAUUUAUACAAACACAAUUUAAAGUUAAAGCACGAUAAUUGCCUAAACUAAAUCAAAUUCUAAUUUAGGUGAAAUGGAGAACCAUAAAAAUUUCUCCAAACAAAAUUAAACUUCAAUAAGAUCAAAGUAACUAUAAAUAAAAGAAAACUGCAUCAUAAUCAUAGUAAGUACACAUAAAGCGCCAUUUAUCAAGUGCAUCAAACACAUAUUAUCAAAACAGGCAUAUCACACUCUUGCGGCACAAAUAUUCAAACGAACUUCUAAUCCUUUAAUAAGGCUCACUUGACCACCAAUUUCAAGGGUUUAUUACCCAUUUUCUUGCUCAUUAAUCCCAAAAACUAAGGAUGACAAAAGUAGAAUAAAGUGGUUAGUUGACCACCUGUUCCUUGUUUAUAUAUAGGGCAUAACCUAUAAAAAUUAGUAAACAAAAUUUACUAUAUACACAAAUCUUAUUAUUUACUUUUUAUUUCAUUAGAUUAUUCUCCUUAUGCUUGACUUGAGCAUUGGACGGCCAUUGCUAGUGCAAUCCGGAACACCCUCUACCGCUCAUCUAUUUUGAAAUUAUUGCCAAGAUAGAGAAGAUGAUGAAUCAAUGAAGACAUUUACAACCAUACACAUUAUAUUCUUUUGAUAAGACAAAUUUAGACUAUGCUGUACAUUCUAUAUGGUAUUUGCAUGCUCGUGAGCAUAGUGGCUCCAAAACUCAUAAUAUUUGGAGCUUUGACUAGAAACUCAUACGCCAGAAGAUUAGACAAAAUAUUGAGUUUGGGCUAUGACUUGUUUCCGAUAAAAACCCUUGCAGAGAAAAAAAAAAUAACUAAAAGAAUUGAUUUCUAUAUUAAUUGAAGACUUCAUUUUCUUUUUAUAUAUUCAGGUACUAGAAAACUUCAUUUUCAAUCACAAUUCAAAUCAGUUGGUCUAAACAAACAUCUCCAAAAAUCCAAAGAAUGAGAGAUUGAGAGAGAGUACAUUGAGCAAAUGCCAAGCUACAGACAACCCAGCGAAGCCAGCACCAAGAACUGCAUACCUACAUUUUUGUAUACAACAAAAACGAUUUAGACCACAACACAUACAAUUAACUCUACAUAUAUGUUAUAGAAAUAGGAAGAGAAGAGAAAGGCAGCACCUGAUGGGUCGAUUCGAGAGAGAAGCGGAAGAAUGGCAAGAAACAGGGACCAGCGAAGAUGAUAUAUUAGAGUAAAAUAAAGGCAUGGGUACAGUGAUAACUGAUGUAUCCACCAUUGAAUUUGACGAUGAGUCCCCUUUGCUAGCUUAAUUCAAUUAAGAGAAAAUUGGACUACUCGUCCUCAAUCUAUUGACGCAAGGGCAAUCUCAUUCCUUAUCUUUUUUUCCAGCAUGAUCCUAAACUUAUAGUAUUGACUAAUGCUAUUUUGGGAUGGCAAACAAGUCAAGCGGGGCUUGUGAGUUCGGCUUGUCCCAGUUCUGUCCAUAGAUGACUCGAGCUCGCUUUAAUACGAACUAUGGAUCAAGUUGAACUUAUUUUGUUCACAGACCAAACUUGGUCAACUUGUUAGGUAUACGCACCAAUUCAUUUGAGCUCAUGUGCCAACUCAUCAGUACAAGCCCAUAAACUAGUGUGUUUGGGCUCGUGGACUGACUCAUUUUUUAUUCCUCAUUUUUUGAUUUAAUUUUAUUAAUUUCUUUUAAAAAUUGCUCCUUUUUAUUAAUUUAAUUUAAAAACAAGAUAGCUUGACUUAGCUCGUUUGGACUUGUGGAUGGCUUGACUCGUGAGGCCCAUAAGCCAGAGAGCCGAGCCAAUCAUAAGAUUCAAACACAAGCCAAGCUCAAUUUGCCCAUAGGGACGAGUCGAGCUCAUGUGUCUACAGCCCACCCCUAAUGCUAUUUAGCACAAUAAAACACCAACCUAAUUACUAUUACAGAAUAAUUCCAACUAAAUAGAUCUCAUAUUCUUCAUCACAAAAAUUUGUUAGUAUGCAAAAACGGUGUAACACUCCAACCAUCUACUCAAUCUGUUAGGAUGUUACUCUAUCAUUCAUAAUUCUUAAGAUGAUCUACUUUAGUGGCUCAAUAAAUCCCCACGAAUCUACAAUUACAAAAUGGAGUCGUUUAGACCUUUUUGGGUUUUGUAGGGAGUAUUUGAAUGGCUUUGCUCUAUUAACAAAAUAACUUAGCAUCCAACCAAACAAAUUGAUCUGCCUGCUUUUUAUUUCAAUGUACACCAUAAAUGACAUGCAACUAUAUUUUUCCGACAUUUCAUCAAUCUUUGUCCACCUGCAACACCAGGUUAAGCAUGCAUAUAAAUAUCAGGUUAUUUGUGGUUCAACAUAGACUCAAGAUCCCAUCAUAACAUAUAAAAUUGCAAUAUUAGCCCAAAAUAACCUAAUGUAUAAUCCCAGUGACUGGAACUAAUGGUGGGCUAAAGAGAGCGCUGCAAAUUGCACUAUUACCACUCCAUAAUACAAUUCUCCAUGUUAUAUUCUCAAAUGUGACCACAAUAGGUUGACAAAAUAUGCCGUUAGCCUGAAAAUUCGUUGUACUUGAAAACACAAUCAUAAAGCCGCCCCCCAAGGAACUGUGCAACCUCCAGGUGCUUCACCUGUAAAGAGAUGAGGAAAAAUUGAUUAUUCCAUAAACUGACGACACAACAGAUGGAGAGGG